GUGGGGGAUAUUGCACAAUGGGGGAAACCCUGAUGCAGCGACGCCGCGUGGGUGAAGGAGCACUUCGGUGCGUAAAGCCCUAUCGGCAGGGAAGAAAAGGGGGAAACCCCAGACGGUACCUGACUAAGAAGCCCCGGCUAACUACGUGCC
Molecule: ribosomal RNA, 150 nt
Filed under: uncultured bacterium
Lineage: Bacteria
Description: partial 16S ribosomal RNA
Rfam family: Bacterial small subunit ribosomal RNA
Source: RNAcentral